GGACUACCCGGGUAUCUAAUCCUGUUUGCUCCCCUUGCUUUCGCGCCUCAGCGUCAGUUUUAGCCCAGAAAACCGUCUUCACCACCGGUGUUCUUCCACAUAUCUACGCAUUUCACCGCUACACGUGGAAUUCCGUUUUCCCUAACUACACUCUAGUUCGGGAGUUUCAAAUGCAGCUCCGGGGUUGAGCCCCGGAAUUUCACAUCUGACUUUCCAAACCGCCUACGCGCCCUUUACGCCCAGUAAUUCCGAUCAAUGCUUGCACCCUCCGUAUUACCGCGGCUGCUGGCAC
Molecule: ribosomal RNA, 292 nt
Filed under: uncultured bacterium
Lineage: Bacteria
Description: partial 16S ribosomal RNA
Source: RNAcentral